CCAUAAGCGGAAAAGAAAAUAACUAUGAUUCCCUUAGUAACGGCGAGUGAACAGGGAAAAGCCCAAAUUUGUAAUCUGGCACUUUUUACAAGUGUCCGAGUUGUAAUUUGUAGAACUGUUAUCCGCGCUGGACCAUGUACAAGUCUGUUGAAAAGCAGCAUCAUUGAAGGUGAAAAUCCUGUAGAUGAUAUGGACUACCAGUGCAUUUGUGAUACGGUUUCUAAGAGUCGAGUUGUUUGGGAAUGCAGCUCAAAGUGGGUGGUAAAUUCCAUCUAAGGCUAAAUAUAAGUGAGAGACCGAUAGCAAACAAGUACCGUGAGGGAAAGAUGAAAAGAACUUUGAAAAUAGAGUUAACAGUACGUGAAAUUGCUGAAAGGGAAACGUUUGAAGUUAGUUUUGUAUUCGUUGGAUCAGCUUCGCAAGGAGUGUAUUCUGAUGAUAAGCAAGUCAACAUCAAUCUAUGAGUGUCGGAGAAGGGUUUUGAGAAUGUAGCAAUUUUUAUUAAUUGUGUUAUAGCUUGAGACUUGGAUACGAUGCUUUGGAUUGAGGAACGCGUAGUAAGCUUUGAGCGGAUUCGAAAGGAUCUCCUUACUAUGGAUGUUG
RNAcentral lists this ribosomal RNA (603 nucleotides) under Melampsora laricis-populina. RNAcentral describes it as "Melampsora larici-populina partial large subunit ribosomal RNA". It matches the Rfam family "Eukaryotic large subunit ribosomal RNA", at positions 44 to 628 of the family's 3401-position model. Lineage: Eukaryota; Fungi; Basidiomycota; Pucciniomycetes; Pucciniales; Melampsoraceae. The record is from RNAcentral.